RNAcentral lists this ribosomal RNA (497 nucleotides) under uncultured bacterium. Its description in RNAcentral is "partial 16S ribosomal RNA". It matches the Rfam family "Bacterial small subunit ribosomal RNA", at positions 28 to 507 of the family's 1533-position model. The record is from RNAcentral.
GAUGAACGCUGGCGGCGUGCCUAAUACAUGCAAGUCGAGCGAACGGACGAGAAGCUUGCUUCUCUGAUGUUAGCGGCGGACGGGUGAGUAACACGUGGAUAACCUACCUAUAAGACUGGGAUAACUUCGGAAAACCGGAGCUAAUACCGGAUAAUAUUUUGAACCGCAUGGUUCAAAAGUGAAAGACGGUCUUGCUGUCACUUAUAGAUGGAUCCGCGCUGCAUUAGCUAGUUGGUAAGGUAACGGCUUACCAAGGCAACGAUGCAUAGCCGACCUGAGAGGGUGAUCGGCCACACUGGAACUGAGACACGGUCCAGACUCCUACGGGAGGCAGCAGUAGGGAAUCUUCCGCAAAGGGCGAAAGCCUGACGGAGCAACGCCGCGUGAGUGAUGAAGGUCUUCGGAUCGUAAAACUCUGUUAUUAGGGAAGAACAUAUGUGUAAGUAACUGUGCACAUCUUGACGGUACCUAAUCAGAAAGCCACGGCUAACUACGUG